RNAcentral lists this ribosomal RNA (516 nucleotides) under Jattaea mucronata. RNAcentral's name for it is "eukaryotic LSU rRNA". The stretch from base 161 to 314 matches the Rfam family "5.8S ribosomal RNA". Lineage: Eukaryota; Fungi; Ascomycota; Sordariomycetes; Calosphaeriales; Calosphaeriaceae. The record is from RNAcentral.
GCAAACUCCCAAACCCAUGCGUACAUACCGUGUCGUUGCUUCGGCGGGCUGUCGCCUCCCCCCGGGGGGUGCGGCCCCGGCCCGCGAGGGAGCCCGCCGGAGGUCUAAACUCUGUAUCUCAGCGAGUUGUCUUCUGAGUAUCUUGAAAAAAUCAAGUAAAAACUUUCAACAACGGAUCUCUUGGUUCUGGCAUCGAUGAAGAACGUAGCGAAAUGCGAUAAGUAAUGUGAAUUGCAGAAUUCAGUGAAUCAUCGAAUCUUUGAACGCACAUUGCGCCCGCCAGUAUUCUGGCGGGCAUGCCUGUCCGAGCGUCAUUUCACCCCUCAGGCCCAGCCUGGCGUUGGGGCGCUGCGCGGAAGCGCAGGCCCUCAAGUGCAGUGGCGAGCCGGCCGGAAACCCGAGCGUAGUAGAAAUCUCCGCCCCGGGAGCCCGGACGGCCUCCGCCGUUAAACGAGACGCGUAAAAACCGUCCUCCACAAGUUUGACCUCGGAUCAGGUAGGAAUACCCGCUGAACU